CAGCGAUGUAGUCAUCUCUAAAAUAUCCUUCCUGCUUUUGAGCUUCUGCAAUUUAAUGAAUUCGAAUUUGGAAAAGAUGUGAUUUAUAGGUAUUUUAUUGUGGAUGUCAUCAAAAUUGAAGUCAACCAAAAAGUCUAUGGCGAGUAUAAGAUGAAAUUGUUUUUUGAGGCCUCCAGGACGAGGUGAACCGCCGGGUUUCAAAAUGUUUCGCAUGGUUUGGAUCUAGUUAAUAGAAAACUCUUAAUAAAGAAUGGUCAAGCGGAAGGUUUAUACUUACAUAAGUCGA
Molecule: long non-coding RNA, 286 nt
Organism: Drosophila sechellia
Lineage: Eukaryota; Metazoa; Arthropoda; Insecta; Diptera; Drosophilidae
Exons: 2
Source: RefSeq, a predicted model, not a curated record